CAAUCGGCAACUAUAAAUAUUUCCAACUUCAAUGCCCAAAAUCCAGAAAUUGAUCUCCUUUAUACACCUUCUGUGUACAAGUUUAAUUAAGCUGAUCAUUAGCAACUAUCUUCUAACUCGGAUGCGCCAGAUGCUCAAAAUGUUUUAGGAAGGCCCAAAACAAAUUCUUCGUCAUCCCAGUCAUCUUUUCAGAGGGCUGGAGGCUCGUAUCUGCCAAACGCUCAGGGUGAUCUAGGUAGGGACGAUACGAAGUCUUCGUCAUCCCAGUCAUCUUUUCAGAAUGGUGGAAGCUCCUAUCUGCCAAAUACUCAUAUUGCUCUUGGAAGGGACACGAAAAAAACUGGGAAAAACAAGUGAAGAAUUAUAUAUGCAAACUGCUGCAGUAGGGUUAUUUACUGUAUAAUUGAAUUAUUGAUUAAUUUGUUGGCAACUAUGUGGUAUACAUAAUACAGUUGGUCAUAAAUAAGCACAGUUGCAUAUUUCUUUUUAAGGUUAGAACAUGUACAUUAUAAUUUCUUCAGUUCAGUUAGCAUUAUUUUAUUGUGAAAAUGGGUGGGUGCUGCUAAGAACAAAUCCCACUAGGAUGUAUCAAAAGAAAUGCAUUAAUAUAUUAUUUGAUUUUGUUCUACAGUUGAUGUGCAUAGAUUAAGUAAAAAAGAGUAGAAAGAUAUUUUAGUUAAAUUAAGCAAAAAAGGGGUGGAAAACUAUUUUAUUAGCUCCCUAAAACAUUUAUACUCCAACCAUACCAUUUAAUUUAGGGAGCCAUAAUAAAUAGGAACCAAUAGAAAUGGAGUUUUUUAUUUAAAAAAUAGUAAUUAAAGGUUGCAGUUUAAAGGACAACGAUUCUCUUCUAUUUUUUUCUUUUUUUUUCCUCUCCCCUCUUGUUUGAACUUUCAAUAUUUCAUCUUGUUUUUUCAUCUUUAUAGGGAGAGAGGAAAAAAAAUUGUGAGGGGAGUGGAAGGAGGGAGGGUAAAAGGGAGGGGAGAGAAUCCCUAUCCGCCUUUAAGAGCUUAAAAAUAAAAUUACGACUAAAUUAGACAUCAUUUAUAUACUUAAAAAUAAAAGUUAAAAAAUUUAACAAAAGUAAUAGAAACACCUCCAUCUCAAACACAAUUCCCAAACCACAUAUCCAUGGCUGUUUGACAUCUUCCCUUUUUGUGGAUGUUUAUCAUAUCUUUCAAUUUUUUAUUCCCUUCAUAAAAUAUAUAUGUGCUAUGUUUGAAUGAGGGUUUUCCAAGUUUCGAGGGAUUGAAGUCAAACUAUUGAGGAAUGGACCACAUAAUAUAACAUAAAGGCGAUUCGAAAAGACCUUGAUGGGCAUUAUAAAGGCAUGUCUGCACCGAUCCAACUUCAAAAUUCUAAGUUGGCCAAGCCUAGCUUAUGAUAUUGCGUAUUGGGAUUCCAUAAAUCUUGGCACUUUUCGUUGCGGAAGCAUGUUUAGUCAUCACCAUAACUAUGGUGUGUUUGCUCACCAUAUAUGCUUUAGACCUAGCAUCAUGUCCUGCUUUUCGUGUUCGUAUCAUUUUCGUGACAUACCCGAUAUCUUAACAGGUCGUGUCGUGUAACACCCGUUAAAGUAAACGGGUAAUAUGACCCGUUAAUAUUAUCAGGUUAUAUGAUCUAAACCGUUACUCGUUAAAGAAAACUAUGCAUGAGGGUUUGUAUGGUUUUUGAUAUUAUUUGAUAAAUUGUUUCCGUUGCUAUGUAUAAAAUUUGAAUUGUAUAUGCAUGCUAGUCAUUUAGAAAUCCAUGUGUUAAGCUCAUAAUUUUCCCUUCAAGUGGUAUCAGAGCCAAAGGUUUAUGUAUUGUGUCCUUAUGGAUUUUAUGCAUAUGGGUAUUAAUAUUAUGUAUGACAUAAUUAUUGGUUCAUUCAAAAUAAGUUUAUCUUUUGUUUUUCAAUAGUUGAAAAAUGUUAGUCAAUAGUUGAGAAAGGUAUGUAUGCAAAAUGAUGUUUUGUAUGCAUGAAUGAAAAUUGAGUUUUGAACUAGUUUGAGAUAUUAUUUCUUCAUUUAAAGUAUGUUUAUCUUUUGUUUUUUUUCAAUGGUUGAAAAUAUAAAUCAAGAGUUGAAAAGAUAUGCAUGUAAAAGUUGUUUUGUAUGCAUGAAUGAAGAAUAAGUCAUGAACAAAAUUUUGGGGUUUUGUUCUAUAUGGUUGGCACGGUUUUGGGGUGGUUUUUGGGUUGUGUUUGUGUUUUAUUGUAAACCACUCACACAUCCUUUUAAAGCUAGAAAGUAGAAACCUUGUCACUUUUGUUUUUGGGUUUGAAAAAUCACCAAGAAUACACAAAUCUUGAAAAUAUGUUCAUGGAUUUGUUCUUGGUGUUCAUGGUUGGUUUUUGGUGAAAAUGGUUUUAUUUGGUUUUCAUGCAUAGUUUUAUGGUUUUGGAUGAUGUUCUUACCAUCCAUAACCAUAUUAAAACUUAUAAAACCCUAGACUUGUCUAGGAGAUUUCCAUCACCUUUUUUCAUUAAAAUCAUUUAAACCAAAACCAAGUAACAAGUAAAUUUGGAUUUUUCUACCUUGCAUUGAAUUAAAGCAAGAUGGGUGAGACUUCCCAUCUCCCCUUAAUGUGGCCGGCCACCCUAGUGGAUUUAUCCACUUGGGGGGUCUUUUGUAAUUUGGAAAAAGAUAUUUUAUACUUUUGAGUAUUUACGGUUUGACCCCUAACUUUUUCUUAUUUGCAUUUAGGCCCCUACUAACUAGAAAGUUAAAAUAAUUGAUUUUAAUUUUGUUAGUUGUUUAAACUCAUAAUUCUAUUAUGCCCAUAUGCACUAAAUCUAAAUGUUCAUGUUGCAUUCCAUUUUGAUUAUUUAAUGUGAUUAAGUAGUUAGAAAAUGGUGACUAUGGACUUAUGCCUUAAACCAUAAUUGAGCUAUGAGAUAAGGCGCUAAAAUCAAAUUGUUUGAACCUUGGGAAUGUGUUUUAAUUACUGUUUUUAAUGGACCUUGUCACAUUUGACAUUAAUCUAUCUCUCCCUCUUAGUAUGUGUAAUUUGUAGGAAUUUGUACAAAUCGGUUUGUAAUUCUUAUUAUUUCUUAAUCUCUUUUAGUUAGUUGAUUCCCUCUAGUGCUAGACUAGAGUUUCUUUAACUAUUGGUAAGGAGACAUAACUAAAAGAGGGUUUUGACAUGAGAUUAAAGAUUAAAUGGGUCCAAUGCCCUAAUUAGCAAUGAAUGAUUGUCUUUCAUUUCUAAUGGCUCAAUGAAAAUGUUUUAAUUGGAUUGAAAAGCACGUAAUUAAAUUGACACAACCUCCCCGAGUUUAUAUUCAACAAUGUUGGCUCGUUGUUGCAAUAACCUAAUAAGUCCAUGGUCAUCCAAGAGCCUAAGAUAACUAUAAAGUCCAAUUUCAAAGGAAUGCAAAACCUUAGUAGUAGUAGUUACUUCCAAUAUUUGAAAAAUUAGUUUUUUUUUUUAUAUUGAUUUGUUUUUUCUUAAAACAAAUAGUGGGAGUAUCAUACGCUACUAAACUAUAAUGAAAAUAAUUAGUAGUUAUAUAUAUCUCCAAUAUUUUGAAAAAUGUUUUGAUAUUGAUUUGUUUUAUGAAAACGAAUAGUGGGGAUAUCAUAUGCUACUAAUUUCAUUAACUUUGGACUAGUAGUUGUAAUAGGACAUUAUUUAUUUGAAUAUGAUUAAAUAAAUAAAAUUGAUGAGACCUUAAAAUCCCUCAACCAACAUACAAUAUUAAGUUGAAAGCGUAAGAGUGCUUUGAACACUUUUUCGUGGCCUUCCACCGUGGUAGGCUCUAAUCGUUUAUGACUUGUACAUCGCCUUCACCCUAUCAUGGGGGAGUGCAAAGUGCAUGCUUAUACUCAGGAGGAGUUUAUUUAAAACAUUUGAUGAGGUUAAGGUAGGCAACGAGUGUGGCCAACAUCGUAUCAUCGUGAGGUCAUGCUUGAACCCCUAUCUAAACCAGCAUAGUGGGAAAGAACUUAACUAAGAGAAAUAAUACCAACAUCGUAUCAUCGUGAGGCAUUACUCUCUAGAGGCCAUAAAGAUGGGUAAUCACAAAAAUUGUUGUGAAUGGGUAAUUGUACCCUCUCAUUAUUAUUUUUGCUAGCCAACAUCGUAUCAUCAUGAGGUGGGCUUGGUAAUAGUGAGCCUCCCAUAACCCACUAGGAGCUUUCUUUUGAAAUCUCCCGGAUUCCAUCUUGGGGGAUAUGGAAUUUUCCAAAAAUGGUGGGUGGUGUCAUUCGGUUUAAAGACCCAAAUCAUUUGACUUAAUCAACAAUCAAACUAAUUAUUUUAUUGUUUAUGUAUUUAGAUAUGGUUGGAAGCACACUCGCGAAAAUACUCGACAAACAUUGCCUUGAGGGGCACAAUUUCCCAUCAUGGUAUCGUAAUGUCAAGAUUCUCCUAACCUUGGAGAAGAUUGUUUACGUUCUAGACAAGGCUCCACCUCACAUACCUCUUGGCCCCAACGCCACUGAGGAUGAAUGUGCUAAGUAUGACAAGCACGUGGAGGAUGAUACACAAGCCAAGUGCUAUCUGUUGGCUUCCAUGAAUGAGGAGCUACAGAGACAGCACGAGGGCAUGGACAAUGCAUCUUCCAUAAUACUUUAUCUUACGGAGUUAUAUGGUGAAGGGACGCACAACCGUCGCUUUAGCACUGUCUGUGAGCUUGUGAAGACCAAGAUGGUCAAGGGGGCUCCAGUACACCAACAUGUACUGAAGAUGAUAGGAUUCAUUGAACAAUUGGAGAACCUUGGUACUCCACUUGACGGGGAAUUGGCCCAGGACUUCAUAUUGGCUUCUCUUUCUGAUUCAUUUGCGCAGUUCGUAAUGAAUUACAAUAUGAAUAAAAUGGAUAGUACUCUCUCUGAGUUACUAAAUAUGUUAGUAACUGCCGAGAAGACUAUGAAGAAAGAGAACGUUGUAGGGACUUCUGCAGUAGUCUACAACAAGCCAUCCUCUUCCAAGGCCAAGCCGCAAGGCAAAGGCAAAGGGAAGGAGAAGAAGCCACCCUCUCCUAAGCCGAAAGGAGGAGUGAGGAAAAAGAAGGCAAAAGAGCCCAAAGGGACUUGCCACCAUUGUGGAAAGGAAGGGCAUUGGAGGAGGAAUUGCAGGUUAUACCUUGCAAGUCUUAAAGACAAGCCACAAGGUAUGGUUUAUGUUCUUAUCUUCAAUUCUAAAUGUUAGAUCUUCUAAAUAUUUAUAUUUGAUAUAAAGAGCUAAUCACUUGUGUAAUUGUAUAUAGGUGGAGAAGCCAAGUAGAAGAUGAACAAGUAAGGAAAAGUGGUGAAGGGUUCGGCCACUAUAUUUUUUGCUUACUACUUAGGAAGUUUGUUAGGCAUUAAAGAUUGUCUUUAAACUUUCUUAUUUUGUUAAGAACUUAUUAUGUGGCUUCAUAUGAUGGAAGACCACUAUUAGUGCCUAAAUGUAUAAAGGUAUUUAUAUUAGUCUCUAAAUGUAUAGAGCUAAUAUUUUUUUUUGUAUUAAACAUUAUGAAUGUUUGAAAUAUCAUAUUAAUGUAAGGUGAAGAAUGCCUUAUAAUAUACUAUUUCCUUAAAGUAGUGUUAUGAAUUGAAAAUUGUCUUGUUGUAUCCUAGUUGAGAUACAAGAGUUAUAUCACUUAUUGUAAUGUGAUAACCAAACUUUAGAUUUAUCAAUUAUGGAUAGAUCUCACAUGUAGGACAUAAAAGGAUACAAUGAAUCUUUAGAUUUGGUUCCAUUUGUCUACCUAUGAGUUCUAUAUGAAUUGACAAAAGUCUAGAGUAUCCUUUCUUGAAGAAAAGGAAGAUCACAUUAUAAUGAUAUAAGUAAUAAGAAAAACGUUUCUUAUAUGGUUAUCACUUGAAAACACAAUGAUCAAGAUCACUCUUGAUUCAAUUAGUAAUUUUGAACAACUAAUUGGGCAUUCUUUUAAAAGGUUUUUAAAAUGUCAAUGGUGUUAGUGAUUAAACCAAGAAAGAAGUGUCUAAAUCUAUAAAAUGUUUAAAGACUUUAGUCACUUAAUAACAAGACAUUAACUUAGUGAAGAUUGAAACAAAUAAGCUUGAAAUGUUUUAAAGCUACUACACAAUGUCUUCUUCCAAUAUACUCCACUUUCAUACAUUUUGAAUAUAUGAAAUGAUUUCUCAUUAAAGUCAUGAGAAAUAGUGGGAGGUGUGAAAAUGGAUAUAAACUUGAAUAUGAUUGGUUUAUAGUUGUCUAAAGAAUAAUAGCAUUUGACUAUUAUUAAGAGUUUGCAAUUUUAAUUGUUAAAAGACUCAAGCUCUUCAAAACGUUAAAAUUCUAUGUUGUGUGACAUUCUAAAGAAUAGUCUUUGAAUGUUGGUUUCGUCAACCUAGCAUAAAAUGGUUAUAUGUUGGGAGUUGUCCAUAAUUCUCUUUUAUGAGAACAAGCUAAAUAACCAAGCAUAUGGACAAGUUGAUGAAACAAAAGGGAAUAAGUUUCAAAAUGAGUCACAACAUAUGGUUUAAACAACAAGACAAACCAAAUUCAACAUCUCAUGUAACAAUAUUGCUCUAUGUAGUUUUGAUAAAGAAUUAUAUCAACCACCUAGAAGGAAUGGUUGAGUUUCUAUAUCCUUAGUAGGAGUCAUGCUUCCACUAAAGACUUGGAUAAUUCUUAUAUGACUACAUUAAAGGUCUUAGUAUGACUAAAACUUGAAGUAUGGUGUAUGACACCAUAUAAUUUAAAUGAAUAGACUUAAUGAAACAAGUCACACAUUUCAAAUGGAAUUACUUGAGAAGGAAUUCUUUUGUGUGUGAUUCAUUUAAGUUAGUGGGAGCAACAUUCAAUUCAAGAAAAUAUAAUUGUUAUUUUGAAUGAAUGCUAAGUUACAACAAGGCCAGUGGGAGUGAUGUCAUAAUUUGAGCAACAAGAUGUGAAUAAGGUCUAUUCGAUAGACUUGAUAAAACAUAGAUGUUACUCGAGAAAUGACAAAACAUGACAUGGUCAAUUUUGAAGUAUAGACUUGAAAUUGGACUUAUUGAUAUAAGCAAGGCUAUCUCAAUAAUGUUAUAUGGGAAUUAAAUCUCAAAUGUUGUAGAUUUAAGAAAGCAUUUUCCUAUGUGAUAGGAAAUCACUUUCAUAACCCUUAUAAUGAAUGUGUCAUAAAAUCACAAAAGGGACACAUGUAUUGACUUGUGAAGUAGAUAUCCAAAAGUAAAUAACCACAAGGGUUGUCACUUUAAGAUAUUACUAUAUCCCAGGAUCAGAACCAAAGCAACUGAAAGAGUAUUAUUGCCUUUAAGAAAGAAACAUCAGAGUGGGACUCUGGAAGCAUGCAUUCACUUAGGUUGUUAACCAAAGUGAAAAUAAGCCAUUUUAACAAAUGGAACUUCAUAAUGGAUGAAGUACUAAUCAUAUGAAUGAUUGUUAGUAUCGUACUACAAUGGUCUCAAGGUUGGAGCAAAGUUUGUAUAAAGUAUACAAACGAAAUAUAUGUCGAUAUAUAGUUUUAGAAACUGCUUCAAAAGGUGUUUUGAAUGGAAGGGGUUCUUUUAGAACCAAUGAUUGAAUCCAAACCAUAAGGUCGUUAGUAGGGUACUACGACGUAAUGGGGCGAUAGCUCAAGCCAUGGAAUCAAGGUCUCAUCAAAGUAUUCGAACACAAGAAAGAGACAUCAUCAAAUGUUUUGGAAACAUUUGAUAAGUAAAUCCCUUUUAAAUGAUAAAAGGGAUUAAUACAUAACCAAGUUAACCUACGAGCAUAAGCUCUCUCAACAAGAUGUAUAAGAUACACUAGUGAUUGACUUUAGUGCAAGUAGGAGAUUGUUGGAAAUAUGCCCUGAAAGUCAAUCUUUGGAAGAAACCUUUCAGGACAAAUGAAUCGAUGUAUGGAUGACUCUUAUACAUCAAAUGGCAAAGACACGAAUUAGGAUUAUCUCAAUAAUCGAUAUAUGUCCUAAAUAGUGUAUCCAUGGACAAUGGAUCGAUUGAAGAAGUAAUCUAAUGAUGUUAGACUACAGAGACCUUCUUCACAUAACCAUUGUGUCCAAAAGGUUCCUAGUUAUUGGAUUGUCGGAGGGAAACUGACAAUGCUUAGACCGGUACAUACUGUGUCCGCUUCAAAUGGAAGGAUGGAAAGUCUCAUCCCAUUCGUGUUGUGACACUAAGACAAGUAUGUAGGUGCUUAUUAAGAGAAUGAGUUCACUGAACGCAAUCGAACGAGAGUACUUGCAUGGAGGUCUACUCACAUGUCAAGCAAGUAACUCUAAUGGUUGGAAUAAUGUAAGUAGUCCUUUGACCUGAGGCAUCGUCGUUGUCUUAUGGCUAAGUACUUAAUCUUUGAUUAUGUCAAAGUCACCCCAUUCGCGGAUGUCCACGGCAUAAUUGGGGUUAAGCCACUUAGUCAUGAAGGCAAGUGAAUGCGCAACAAGGAAUCUCUAAUCCUCGAUUAGAGAGGAAGAAUACUCUAAUAUAUGAUUCGGGAAUCUUCAGCCGAAGUAUCGAGCGUAAUAAAGGAAAGCGUUCCUAUACGACUCAAUUGAAUCAUAUAAGAAGGAAUAAUCACAUUAGGGGUUUGACAUAAUAUAUCCAUACCCUAGUAAUGUGAUUGAGAGUAUUGUUUUAGAGAAUGAUCGAAUUACAUUGUAAUUCCAACUGAAUAGGUUCUCCGAACAACUUCUACAUUAGCUUGGGUAGCUAUGACAUAUGGUUAGAUGUCACUCAUAGCUUGUGAGUUCUUCUAGAUGAUUAAAUGUAGUCAUCAAAGAGGAAAGGUGAAUUAAAAUGAAUUUUUAAUUCACUAUGUGAUUGGAUUAAAUAUAAUCAAUUGAAUUAAUGUCAAUCACCUCACUGCCUUGCUAAUUAGAACCUAAAAUGAUUGUACACCGAUACACUCUUGUAGUGAGUAAUUAAUGGAUGAUGAAAAUAAUUAAUUGGAUUAAUUAAGUGUUGUGAUUAAUUUAGAAAGUCUAAAGAAAUCAUAAAAGCGAUAAAAGAUCGUUUUGGGCUUGAAGAAACGUUCGGGUUUAAUUGGGCCCAUUGGGCCUAAACCCAUUGGGCUUUUAUUCAAGCAUAGGAUGACUUGAAAUAAUAAAAGCCUAAAGCCCAAACCAAACACUAAAGGGCCGGCCACUUAAAGGGUUUGGGAGAGAUAUUUAGUCAAGUUGUUGGCUAGGUUUCUUUUGUCUAUAUAAGGAACUUUAUAGCACAAAGUUCAUUAGGGUUUUUGUGUGUUUAAAACAACAAAGAGGCAAAAGAAAUAUCUCUCUAAAAAACUACAAAGGCCGGCCACCUUGGGGGUGUUUUUACUAACACAUCUUUCACCCUUUUGGUUAUUCCUCCAUCCAUCUCACUACACUAGUGGGUGUGGAUCUUUAGAGGUCUUCUCCUUUGGAGACUUAAGGAGAACUUUGGAGCACUCUUACUAACAAAGUGGAGGAGGCAAGGAGGGAGGCUAGGCUCAAGGACUUCAAGGAGCAAAGGGCUUGGAGGUGGUCCAUCCUUGGUCUAAAAUCAAGAUCAAGAGGUAUAGAUCUAUUCCUUGACUUUGUUCUUAAGUUAAAUGAUUUAAUGCAUUAUAUAUAAACCUAUGAACCUUGAAGGGGAUUUGCAUAACUAUUGCUUUGAUAUUAUUUGAUAAAUUGCUUCCGUUGCUCAUGUAUAUAAAUUUUGAAUUGUAUAUGCAUGCUAGUCAUUUAGAAAUCCCAUGUGUUAAGCUCAUAAUUUUCCCUUCACCAUGUGAUACUGCCAUAUAUAUAUAUUCACCCAAUUCUGCCGAAAAUGUCUGCAACCAUCAGGUCUAGGGUUUAGGCCUAAAGCCUUUUCUCAACUGAUUUGACCUUUCAAAGCCCCAUACUGUAUAUAUAUAUCCAUGACGUGCAUACAUCAAGAUGAUAAGCCUCCAUUUAUUCGGCAAGAUUUAACGCCUUUGCCCUUUUUUGAAUCUGCCAAUUCCUUUUUGGAUCUAACUAACCUUGCCGAGCUCGGCAAUACAAGACUUUGAAUCUGCCCACACCUAUAUGUCCACCAUAGCAUUUUCUUGACUCCCGACUUCUGCCUAGACAGCCGAAUUAUUUUUUAUUUUUUAUUUUUAUUUUUUAUUCGGCCAACUAAUGCUGUUGCUGCCCCUUUUUUUUUUAUGCAUCGGCUUGCAUAGCCGUAUGUUUAAGAAAAUAACAUAUAUAUAUUGAACAAAUGAAAAGAAAAGUAGUCGAACCAUAGUUAGGAGGAGGCCAACAAUGCUUUAUUCCAAGUCGAGACCUUGUAAUAACAAAAUCUUCAAAUUGAUUUCACUCUAGGCUGAAUAAAGAAUUUUCUCCAAAUAUUUUUGACUCGGUGAAAUAUUUUUCAUUUUCGGCUGCCGAAUGUAUUGAACAAUUAUUAUGCCACCCAGGCAUAACAAUUUCAUCAAUUUCGGCUUUUAACUCGAACAACUUAGCCGAACGGGAUUUCCCCAUAUCAGCUUUAUCACCAAUAAUCAUGUCAAUUGGCGUAGUCUCGGCGUCUAAGACCAUGUCUCCAAUUACCAUAUCAAUUGAUGUGGUUUUAUGGUCUGAAGCUGUGUAUUGGUCUUGUUCGUCAUUAGAACACUCCUCUGACGAAUCAUUUUCCAAGUUGAUUUGUGACUCAGAGAUUUGAACUUUUUCUUCUAGGCCUACCACACUUUCAGUCUCGACCGAAAAAAUAGGUGGCCUUUGUUCUUCGGCCAAAUUAACAAUUUUCUUAGGCCAAAUAUUAGUUGUGGCCGGAGUGGAAAUUUGCCCCCCGGCCUCUUGCUUUUCAGAAAUUCUUCCCAAUCUCUCGAGAAGUUGUUUUUGCUUCUUUAAUAGGCGAUGACACUCAUCCCUUGAAGCCUGAUCGAGAUAGAUCAUGUGAACUUCGUAGUUUUAGCACUGGGUAUCACUGGGCGUGCCAAAAUGUUGACCCUAGAAACUACCAAACCUACGUGGCACGCAGGCCGAGUAAUCUAUAAGCUAACUACGUCCUUCGGUGAAUGCGGGGUGUGCCAACUCGUCGGCCGAGCUCGGCCGAGGAGUAAAUUUGUUGAUGUUGCGUUGGGUGCGCGGCUGACUUCUGCGUCUUGCGAUUGCGACCGAGGAAGGAACACGUCUCGGCCUCUUGGGUUCUCAAACCUGAAGACAAGGCUACUAUUCUUACGAAGUUCAAUAUCAAAUUCGGCUUUCAAUGUGCCGAAUGUAAUAACUUGUAACACCUCACUUCGCCGAGAAUGCUGAUGAGAUGACCUCGACCUAUAAGGAUUCAUAAAUCCUUCUCGACCGAGACUUGGAUAGGUAAUCAACCGUCCUCGCCGCAGUGCUGUUGAUGCCAACGGAAGAUGCUGCGAGAUCGGCUGAUUCUACGAUGACAAAGCUAUCUAUGCCAACUUAAGAUAUCACCAGUUGCUUUCACAGUGCUGUUGAUGCCAACGGAAGAUGUGUCAGCGAAAAAAGAAAAUAAAAAAAAUCUCAGCUGUUGAGAGAAUUUGCGCAGGGCAGUUGUGUGUUGAAUUGGAGGUCCUUGAUCGUUGCCUGCGACUCUGUAUUUAUAGUGACGAAUACGCACUGGUUGAUAAGCUGAGAAAGACUCCCAAACUAUUAAAACUCAUCUUCAUCGAAUCCAAGAUAAUCUGCAUGCUUGGAUAACGUCCAUCUAAUCAACCACCCAAUACAUACAUAUAUAUAUAUAUAUAUAUAUAUAUAUAAAACAAAGUUUUCACCUUUCCAAUGAGUUGGCAGACCUAAUGUCGCCAAUUAUAUAUAUAUAUGGCUGAUAGCAUUUGACACGGCAUACAGGCCAUGUCCAUCAUCAAUUUACUUCAUCUGACAACACCCCCUUAGGUCUCCUAUCUCAUCCUCACCUCAUCCAAAAUAGCCAUCAUCAUUCUGAUCAAACGAAUUUUAAAUUCAUUUUACUUCCAAGUGAUGUCAGACUUCCCAAAUCAAUUCGAAUUGUACUGCUUAUUCGGGAUAUGAAUCGCAUUCUAUUUAUCUGGUUUAAAAAAUACCAAGAUAAUUCAUAUUAAAAGAUAAUUAUAAUAUUAUCCUUUAACAAUCAAAUUAUCUCCACUUUCUCAUCUGGCGGUCGAGAAUCAUGUCCACUCAACGGCCUCGAUCGCUUGAGCCGAUGAUGUAAAAUCGGGUCCAAACAGUAAGGUUACAAUGGUAUUUUUAAGUUUCUCCAGUAGCUUGUCAUCUCCACCAGAUCUAUGGCAGUGACAGCUAGUGACCUUUGUAGUAAAAGCCUUUGUUUGUAGCCACUCUGGGCCCUUUAUGUAUUGGCCUCCUCAUUAUUUUGGGUUUAGACACAUUUUAUGUAAUUUUUUGUUUUGGGUACAAACAAUAAACCUUUAAUCGUAAUAUACAUAUGCACACGUGACAUCCCAUUUCCACCCUCCCUAUAUUUUGGGCAGUUUUCUACCUGCAUUCGUGUAAUCUUUACAAAUUGUCUGUUUGGACUUUGUUAAGUUUUUUUUGGUUGAAAAAAGGGGCUAAAAGAAAGAGCCCAAAUAAACCUACUCAAUAAUAAAUCUAGAUCGGGACAUCUCAAGUUGAUUCUCAUGAAUAAAACUAACUGAACAAGAAGGAGUAGUGUCAAAAUAAAAAUUACCUAAUGUAAAUCAAGACUAUAAGUCACUAAAUUGUCCGCCACAAAAUUCUUUUCUCUAUGAACUUUGUUAAGUUGCAUCUAAAGACAGAUGUCUUAUGAUCAUUAGUUGUCAUACAAUCAUUGCCACGUCAAUCAAAGUUGUUAGAAUAUUGCUAAGCUGUUAAGUGAUUUGUUAGUUGGUUAAUUAGUUACAACUUACAAGUAAGCUGUAAUGUGUUAGUAAUUUUUCUAAUAAAUACAUAAGUCUCAUUUCUCUCCAAAGUUUCUCUCUAGUUCUUCGUCUUCUCAAUUCUUCAUUGUGCUUUGAUUUUUCCUAAUGCAGUUAAUAGCCUCGUGUGUGCUUGCUUUCAAUUCAGGAUCAAAAUUAUGACAACUUAGAGAUUUGAGGCUUCUCUAGAUCGGCGGGUUUGGGUCCAUUUCACUGGAGGUGAUGAUACAUAAUGGGCUAUAGUUGUGUUUGGGUGGUCUUUUUGGGUUUUGUGGUGGAUGGCCUGCUUCAUUAGAUUUUAGGCGAUGACGGUGGGUGACCUUUGUAGUAUUUCUCUUAGUUCUUUGUUUGUGGUCACUUUUGGGCUUUUUUUUGUGUGUAGGUCUUUAUAUUAUUUGGGUUGAUGUCCACUUUAUGUAAACACCUUAAGUUGUGACGUCUCAUUUGCAGCCUCCUCAUUUUUGAGGUGGCUGGUCUACCAUAUUCAAAAUCUUUAUCCAUUGUUUGUUUGGACUUUGUUGUAAAAUCUCUAAUUGACAAGAAAAUAAAAAAAAAACGUUAUAUGUAUGUGUAUCCAAAUAAUUUAGGAUUUUUUUUUUUUAUAGGUCAACAAAUAAUUUAACCCGUUUCCCCAAAUUACAUGGGAUAACCAGCGUAUGAAGCCUAUACGUGUCCCUCUUUAUGCCAGAGGAUGAAGGGCUUAGAUGUUAUCUACAGACUCUCCAUGCAUGCAUUUGUGUGCAUUCAUCCAUAUCAGUUUCCUUUUUAACAAAGAAAGAAAAAAAUCGUCAAAGACCUGCAUGCAGUAAGUUGCUGCACAGUUUCUCAAAUUUUUACCAGAAACACAAAUAAGGGAUUGAUCGGUAGGCAAGACCGAUGGACAAUUAAGAAAUGAGAAAUACAUGUUCGUGAUCAGAAGGGGACGCGUCUGCCGAGUAAAGAAGAAGAACAAAUAAGAAAUAAAAUGGAGGAUUUAUGACCCAUGGAGCCAUGCCACCCAUGUCUGUGGAGCUACGAGGAUUGACUUUCAAUGAGAUUUAAGUCGAAAUUACAUGGUUAAUGUCGAAACGUGUUGACAUAUAUAGAUAUGUGUGUGUGUGCGCGCGCGCGCGCGUGUGUGUAUAAACGUGUUUGUGCUAGGUGUACGUUUCAUUUCCCACUGUUGUAGCUAGGAAACUAUAUACUGGACUUCGUGUGCCAUUAACAUGCAUGGGUCAUAAAUCCUCCAUUUGAUUUCUUAUUUGUUCUUCUUCACUCGGCAGACGCCUCCCCUUACGAACACGUAUUUCUGAUUUGUAAAUGGUCUGUUGGUCUUACCAACCGAUCAGUCCCUUAUUUGUGUUUCUGGGAAAAAUCUGAGAAAUUGUGCAGCAACUUACUGCAUGCAGCCCUUUGAAGAUUUCUUCUUUCUUUGUUAACAAGGAAACUGAUAUGGAUGAAUACACACACAUAUGAACGCAUGAAGAGCCUGUAGAUUAAGAUCUGAGCCCUCCAUCCAUUGGCAUAAAGAUAUACACACACAGAAAGGAAAAUUAUAUCACAGAGAAACAUCAGAAAUUAAAAAUGGAGAGAAAAUAUUUUAAGAGAAAUUUCCAAUAUAUAAUGUAAAUAUCCAGCCCAUGUAUUAACUUAAUUAAUAUAACAAACAGCCUAGUCAAAAACUUGUUCUCAUUUUCCAAGAAUAUGUGUGUAUGAUACAGGGGGAGAAAUCCCCCAAGCAAUCACAUGCAUGCGCAAUCAAAACACCGUCAAAGAUGUCUUCUUAACAGCAUUGCAUACGCGGCAUAAAAACAAAUUCAGCUCAGCCGACCACUCGCAUUCAACUGGAAACAUAGAAAAAGGAAUUCAAAUUAAACAAAUAAAUUGUGUUUACUUAUGCGGUCAGGUUACUCUAAUUUCCUGGUAGGUCUGUGGAAACCAAACUGCACGAUACGAACCCUAACGUCCCUCCCAAUCGGCUACUAUAAAUAUUCCAACUUCAAUGCAAAAUCCACAAGGUAUACACCUUAAUGCUCAAAUUUAAUUAAGCUGAUCAUUAGCAAUUAUGUCUGACUCGGAUCCGCCAGAUGCUCAAGGUGUUAUAGGAAGGCCCAAAAGGAAUUCUUCCUCCUCCCAGUCAUCUUUCCAGAGUGCUGGAGGGUCGUAUCUGCCAAACGCUCAGGGUGCUCUAGGAAGGGACAAGAUGAAAUCUUCGGCGUCCCAAUCAUCAUCUCAAAGUGGUGGUGGAGGCUCGUAUCCGCCAAAUACUCAUAGCGCUCUAGGAAGGGACAAGAAGAAAUUUGGGAAAAACAAGUGAAGAAUUAUAUAUGCAGACUGUUACAUUAAGGUUAUAUACUAUACAAUUGAAUUAUUGAUUAAUUUGUUGGCAACCAUGGAGGUAUACAAAAUACAGUUGGACAUAAAUAAGCACAAUUGCAUAUUUAUAUUUACAAACUUGGAAAAUAUUUGUCUCCAUUAUUUGGUACAAAUAUUUCUUUUCAAGGUUAGAAACAUGUACAUUAUAAUUUCUUAAGUUCAGUCAGCAUUAUUAUAUUGUAAAAAAGGGUGGGUGCUGCUAAGAACAAAUCCCACAAGAAUGUAUCAAAAGAAAUGCAUUAAUAUAUUAUUUGAUUUUUUUCUAUAUAUAGUUGAUGUUUGCAUAGAUUUUAAGCAAGUAUAAAGGGGUGGAAAGCUAUUUUAGUUAAAUUUCAAGUAAAAACGGGUAGAAAACUAUUUUAUUAUCUCCCCAACCCCCUUAGUGCACAUAUUAUCAUUUGUUCAACUAAAAAAGCAAACACUUAGUGCUAUGGUCUAGUGGUAUUCCUGUUCACUUAUGAGUGAGAGGUCUUUGGUUCGAUUCUCGCCAAAGCCGAAGUUGAACCAUAUUAUUAUGACAAGCUUAUUGUAAGGCGUAGCACCAACCAUGUAUCAUCCUACUCAAAAUUCGUACAUAAUUUUUAAUUUAAAAAUACGAAAUAUAAAAUUACAACUAAAUUAGACACCAUCACACCCUUAAAAAUAAAAGUAAAAAAUAUAACAAAAGCCACACAAACACCUCCAUCUCUGACAAAAUUCCCAAACCAUACAUCCCUGGUUCUUUGACAUGCUCCCGUUUUAUGGAUGCUUUUCAUCUCUUUCAAUUUAUUAUUCACUUCAUAGAAUAUAUAUGUGCUAUGUUUGGAUGAGGGUUGUUUUCCAAGUCCCAAAGGAUUGAAGUCAAACCAUGAAGGAAUGGACCACAAAAUAUAACAUAGAGGCAAUAUGAAAAGUCCUUCAUGAGCAUUAAAAGGCGUAUCCCUGCCGAUCCAACUUCAAAAUUAAGAGUAGCCAAGCCUAGCUUAUGAAGAGGAUGGGAAACCGAGUCCUCUUCUCUAAAAUUAGUAUGGGCUACUUGGAUGUGGUGUUUACGUCACUUGACAUUUUUCAGUUCAUCUUGAUUCAAGAAGUUUUCUCCUCGUACAGCUUGUAAAAAUUCUUAAUUAUGUGGGGCAUUAAGUUUCAUUGUGUGUGCUUGCUUUUGACUAAGGACCGAGAUUUUGGCAACUUGGAUGAUGGGAGGCUUCUUUGGAUCUAUGAGCUUGGUUCCAAUUCAUUGAAGGUGAUGAUAACGGUCUAAAAUAUCGUUAGACUCAUAAAUCCUCCAUUUGAUUUCUUACUUGUUCUUCUUCACUCGGCAAACACCUCCCCUUCUGGUCACAAACACAUAUUCUGAUUUGGAAAUGGUCCGUCUGCAUACCCACCGAUCAAUCCCUUAUUUGUGUUUUUGGGAAAAAACUGGGAACUUGUGCAGCAACUUACUGCAUGUAAGCCUUAGAAGAUUUCUUUCCUUCUUUGUUAACAAGGAAACUGAUAUGGAUGAACACACAUAUGCAUGCCUGGAGAGCCACAUAUAAUAUUACAAUUCGUUUGUGGGUUUCGAUCCACUAAUGUUUUUCUAUAUGAGUAAGCCUUUCUCUUCAUUUUCUUAAGCGGUUGAAAGUCAACAGAUAUACACACACACACAAGAUAUACACACACGGGGUCACAGAGAGAAAAGAAAAUUAUAUCACAGAGAAACCCCAGAAAUUAUCAAUGGAGAGAAAUUUUAUGAGAAAUUUCCCAUACAUUAUGUAAAUAUCCAUGUAUUAACUCAAUCAAUCUAGCAAAGAACCUUGUCAGAAACUUGUUCUCAUUUUCCAGGAAUAUGUGUGUAUGAUAUAGGAGGAGAAAUCCCCCAAGCAAUCACAUGCCAGCGCAAUCAAAACAGCGUCAAUGAUUUCUUCUUAACUGCGCUGCACAAGCGGCGUAAGAACCAAUUCUUCUCAGCUCAGCCGACCACUCACAUUCAGCUGGAGACAUAGAAAAAGGAAUUCAAGUUAAACAAAUAAAUUGUGUUUACUUAUGCGCUUAGGUUACUCUAAUUUCUUUGUAGUUCUGUGGAAACCAAACUGCAUGAUACGAACCAUAACGUCCCUCCCAAUCGGAAACUAUAAAUAUUUCCAACUUCAAUGCCCAAAAUCCAGAAAUUGAUCUCCUUUACACACCUUCUGUGUACAAGUUUAAUUAAGAUAAUCAUUAGCAACUAUAUCUUCUAACUCGGAUCCGCCAGUUGCUCAAAAUGUUUUAGGAAGGCCCAAAACAAAUUCUUCGUCAUCCCAGUCAUCUUUUCCGAGGGCUAGAGGCUCGUAUC
Molecule: long non-coding RNA, 17353 nt
Filed under: Malus domestica (apple)
Lineage: Eukaryota; Viridiplantae; Streptophyta; Magnoliopsida; Rosales; Rosaceae
Description: long non-coding RNA (MDOM_LNC002847)
Source: RNAcentral